GGAAUAUUGGACAAUGGGGGCAACCCUGAUCCAGCAAUGCCGCGUGUGUGAAGAAGGCCUGCGGGUUGUAAAGCACUUUCAGCAGGGAAGAACAGCGGGGGGCUAAUACCUCCGCGUCCUGACGUAACCUGAAGAAGAAGCACCGGCUAACUCCGUGCCAGCAGCCGCGGUAAUACGGAGGGUGCGAGCGUUAAUCGGAAUUACUGGGCGUAAAGCGUACGUAGGUGGCUUGAUAAGUCGGAUGUGAAAGCCCCGGGCUCAACCUGGGAACUGCAUCCGAAACUGUCUGGCUAGAGUAAGGGAGAGGGAAGCGGAAUUUCCGGUGUAGCGGUGAAAUGCGUAGAUAUCGGAAGGAACACCAGUGGCGAAGGCGGCUUCCUGGCCCAUUACUGACACUGAGGUACGAAAGCGUGGGGAGCAAAC
RNAcentral lists this ribosomal RNA (423 nucleotides) under uncultured bacterium. RNAcentral's name for it is "bacterial SSU rRNA". It matches the Rfam family "Bacterial small subunit ribosomal RNA", at positions 358 to 773 of the family's 1533-position model. The record is from RNAcentral.